CCUACGGGAGGCUGCAGUGGGGAAUAUUGGGCAAUGGACGCAAGUCUGACCCAGCAACGCCGCGUGAAGGAAGAAGGCUUUCCGGUUGUAAACUUCUUUUUAGGGGGAAGAGCAGAGGACGGUAUGCCUUGAAUAAGCUACGGCUAACUACGUGCCAGCAGCCGCGGUAAUACGUAGGUGGCAAGCGUUGUCCGGAUUUACUGGGUGUAAAGGGCGUGCAGCCGGGGAGACAAGUCAGAUGUGAAAUCCACGGGCUCAACCCGUGAACUGCAUUUGAAACUGUUUGCCGUGAGUGUAGGAGGGGUAAUCGGAAUUCCUGGUGUAGCGGUGAAAUGCGUAGAUAUCAGGAAGAACACCGGUGGCGAAGGCAGAUUACUGGACGAUAACUGACGGUGAGGCGCGAAAGCGUGGGGAGCAAACAGGAUUAGAUACCCCAGUAGUC
This 442-nucleotide ribosomal RNA is filed under the name uncultured bacterium. RNAcentral's name for it is "partial 16S ribosomal RNA". It matches the Rfam family "Bacterial small subunit ribosomal RNA", at positions 338 to 795 of the family's 1533-position model. The record is from RNAcentral.